RNAcentral lists this non-coding RNA (844 nucleotides) under Brachymeles gracilis. RNAcentral describes it as "partial 12S ribosomal RNA". It matches the Rfam family "Bacterial small subunit ribosomal RNA". Lineage: Eukaryota; Metazoa; Chordata; Lepidosauria; Squamata; Scincidae. The record is from RNAcentral.
AUAAAGUUUUGGUCCUAAACUUGCCAUUGUUUUUAACCAAGAUUAUACAUGCAAGCUUCCACAAACCAGUGAGAAUGCCCACACAGCCCUAAACAGCGAAAUGGAGCAGGUAUCAGGUUUACACAAUUGUACCAAAAACACCUUGCUACGCCACACCUUCACAGGAAUUCAGCAGUAAAUAACAUUAAGCAAUAAGCGAAAGCUUGACUUAGCUAUGGUUGAGAGAGCCGGUAAAUUCCGUGCCAGCCACCGCGGUUACACGUAAGACCCAAGACAAUAGCCUACGGCGUAAAGCGUGACUAAAGAUAAAACACACACCUUUAAAGGAAAACUACUGCUAAGCUGUAGAACGCCAACGCACCUAAGAAAUACCCCACUAAUAUGCCUUUAAAACUAAAGUUUCCAACAUCACGAAAGCCAGGAAACAAACUGGGAUUAGAUACCCCACUAUGCUUGGCCCUAACCACAGAUAAUUACCAAACAAAAUUAUCCGCCAGAGGACUACAAGCGAAAAGCUCGAAACUCCAAGGACUUGGCGGUGCUCCAUACCGACCUAGAGGAGCCUGUCCUAUAAUCGAUACCCCCCGUUCCACCCAACCAUCUUUUGCCUUCAGCCUAUAUACCGCCGUCGUAAGCCUACCUUAUGAAAGAACACUAGUAAGCAAAAUGGUCCUUCACCAACACGUCAGGUCAAGGUGUAGCUAACAAGAUGGAAGAGAUGGGCUACAUUUUCUGCAACAGAAAAAACGAACAGCACACUGAAACCUGUGCCAAAAGGCGGAUUUAGCAGUAAGAUAAACAAGAGAUUAUACCUUAAACCCGCUCUGGAGCGCGCACACACCGC